This 102-nucleotide ribosomal RNA is filed under the name Hazenella coriacea. Lineage: Bacteria; Bacillati; Bacillota; Bacilli; Caryophanales; Thermoactinomycetaceae. The record is from RNAcentral.
GGAGGGGAUCCACUCGUUCCCAUCCCGAACACGACCGUUAAGCCCUCCAGCGCCGAUGGUACUUGGGGUGCAGACCCCUGGGAGAGUAGGACGUUACCAGGC